GUGGGGAAUUUUCCGCAAUGGGCGAAAGCCUGACGGAGCAAUGCCGCGUGGAGGUGGAAGGCCUACGGGUCGGUCAACUUCUUUUCUCGGAGAAGAAACAAUGACGGUAUCUGAGGAAUAAGCAUCGGCUAACUCUGUGCCAG
This 143-nucleotide ribosomal RNA is filed under the name uncultured bacterium. RNAcentral describes it as "partial 16S rRNA". It matches the Rfam family "Bacterial small subunit ribosomal RNA", at positions 354 to 511 of the family's 1533-position model. The record is from RNAcentral.